RNAcentral lists this long non-coding RNA (202 nucleotides) under Carica papaya (papaya). RNAcentral describes it as "long non-coding RNA (CPAP_LNC013240)". The record is from RNAcentral. Lineage: Eukaryota; Viridiplantae; Streptophyta; Magnoliopsida; Brassicales; Caricaceae.
AUGAACUUUUAGUUGUCCGGAUCCAAAGGCGUCUACUCUGCCAUGCUACAUCAAGACACACUCUAAACCAAUAUGAGAUGCAUCAUAGUAAACUUGGAAUCUCCCAACAUCAUCAGGGUAUAUUAACAUAGGAGCAGAGGUGAGACGACACUUUAAUUCCAUGAAGCUUUCACUACACUCAUAAUUCCAAACGAAGGGUACU